RNAcentral lists this ribosomal RNA (484 nucleotides) under uncultured bacterium. Its description in RNAcentral is "partial 16S ribosomal RNA". It matches the Rfam family "Bacterial small subunit ribosomal RNA", at positions 30 to 507 of the family's 1533-position model. The record is from RNAcentral.
AUUGAACGCUGGCGGCAGGCCUAACACAUGCAAGUCGAGCGGAUGAAGGGAGCUUGCUCCUGGCUUCAGUGGCGGACGGGUGAGUAAUGCCUAGGAAUCUGCCUGGUAGAGGGGGCUAACGUCCGGACACGGGCGCUAAUACCGCAUACGUCAUGAGGGAGAACGUCGGGGUUCUUCGGACCUAACGCUAUCUGAUGAGCCUAGGUCGGAUUAGCUAGUUGGUGGGGUAAAGGCCUACCAAGGCGACGAUCCGUAACUGAUCUGAGAGGAUGAUCAGCCACACUGGAACUGAGACACGGUCCAGACUCCUACGGGAGGCAGCAGUAGGGAAUAUUGGACAAUGGGCGAAAGCCUGAUCCAGCCAUGCCGCGUGUGUGAAGAAGGUCUUCGGAUUGUAAAGCACUUUAAGUUGGGAGGAAGAGCAGUAAGUUAAUACCUUGCUGUUUUGACGGUACCAACAGAAUAAGCACCGGCUAACUACGUG